GACGAACGCUGGCGGCGUGCUUAACACGUGCAAGUCGAACGGAAAGGCCCUGCUUUUGUGGGGCGCUCGAGUGGCGAACGGGUGAGUAACACGUGAGUAACCUGCCCUUGACUUUGGGAUAACUUCAGGAAACUGGGGCUAAUACCGGAUAGGAGCUCCUGCUGCAUGGUGGGGGUUGGAAAGUUUCGGCGGUUGGGGAUGGACUCGCGGCUUAUCAGCUUGUUGGUGGGGUAGUGGCUUACCAAGGCUUUGACGGGUAGCCGGCCUGAGAGGGUGACCGGCCACAUUGGGACUGAGAUACGGCCCAGACUCCUACGGGAGGCAGCAGUGGGGAAUAUUGCACAAUGGGCGGAAGCCUGAUGCAGCAACGCCGCGUGCGGGAUGACGGCCUUCGGGUUGUAAACCGCUUUCGCCUGUGACGAAGCGUGAGUGACGGUAAUGGGUAAAGAAGCACCGGCUAACUACGUG
This 468-nucleotide ribosomal RNA is filed under the name uncultured bacterium. RNAcentral's name for it is "partial 16S ribosomal RNA". It matches the Rfam family "Bacterial small subunit ribosomal RNA", at positions 28 to 507 of the family's 1533-position model. The record is from RNAcentral.